UGGGGAAUAUUGCACAAUGGGCGCAAGCCUGAUGCAGCCAUGCCGCGUGUGUGAAGAAGGCCUUCGGGUUGUAAAGCACUUUCAGCGGGGAGGAAGGCGUUAAGGUUAAUAACCUUGGCGAUUGACGUUACCCGCAGAAGAAGCACCGGCUAACUCCGUGCCAGCAGCCGCGGUAAUACGGAGGGUGCAAGCGUUAAUCGGAAUUACUGGGCGUAAAGCGCACGCAGGCGGUCUGUCAAGUCGGAUGUGAAAUCCCCGGGCUCAACCUGGGAACUGCAUUCGAAACUGGCAGGCUAGAUUCUUGUAGAGGGGGGGAGAAUUCCAGGUGUAGCGGUGAAAUGCGUAGAGAUCUGGAGGAAUACCGGUGGCGAAGGCGGCCCCCUGGACAAAGACUGACGCUCAGGUGCGAAAGCGUGGGGAGCAAACAGG
This 429-nucleotide ribosomal RNA is filed under the name Chloroflexota bacterium. RNAcentral describes it as "Chloroflexi bacterium partial 16S ribosomal RNA". It matches the Rfam family "Bacterial small subunit ribosomal RNA", at positions 355 to 776 of the family's 1533-position model. The record is from RNAcentral. Lineage: Bacteria; Bacillati; Chloroflexota.